UCGAGAAUCUUCGGCAAUGGGCGCAAGCCUGACCGAGCGACGCUACGUGCGGGAUGAAGGCCCUUGGGUUGUAAACCGCUGUCAGAGGGGAUGAAAGCGCAAGCUUGACAGAGCCUCAGAGGAAGCGCGGGCUAAGUUCGUGCCAGCAGCCGCGGUAAUACGAACUGCGCAAACGUUAUUCGGAAUCACUGGGCUUACAGGGUGCGUAGGCGGCCGAUCAGGUCCGGUGUGAAAUCCCACAGCUCAACUGUGGAAUGGCAUUGGAAACCGAUCGGCUUGAGUGGGCUAGAGGUGCACGGAACUUCCGGUGGAGCGGUGAAAUGUGUUGAGAUCGGAAGGAACACCAGAGGCGAAAGCGGUGCACUGGAGCUUGUCUGACGCUGAGGCACGAAAGCCAGGGGAGCAAACGG
This 410-nucleotide ribosomal RNA is filed under the name uncultured bacterium. RNAcentral describes it as "bacterial SSU rRNA". It matches the Rfam family "Bacterial small subunit ribosomal RNA", at positions 355 to 775 of the family's 1533-position model. The record is from RNAcentral.